UUAAUUUUAAUCAUGGCUUCAAUCUAGGAUGUGCUAUAUGAUGAGGAGUUUGAAGAACAAGUACCAUUGGAAAGCAAUAGAGAAGAAUGAUGCCUAGGAGGGCAGGCUGGCUGUCCAGUCUGCAACCCAACAUGGUUUUCAACUUGUUAAGUUUAUCUUCAUCCAUGAUCUGAAUCUCAGUGAAUCAGUCUCAAAAUUCAAUCUAUUAAACACAGUAAGAAUGAAACCUUAUACUAAGAGGAGAUCCACAUUAAAUAAGUUCACAGGGGCUGAUGUAUCUGAUCAGAAUACUGAUUUAUUAAUCUCCUGAGAGAAAUUCAGUUACUACAAAGACCAGGAACACUUGAGUCAGACAGAUUGGCAUAUUUUCUCCCUUAAAGGCAGCCUCUAUGGACCUGAGAGCGACCUCCAGGAGCUGAGAGCAGUCCUCAACUCUUGUUAGAGUUGGUAGCAAGAAAACAGGACUUCAGUCCUAUAGCUGCAAGGGAGUGAAUUCCGCCAAUCACAGGAAUGAGCUUGGAAAAAGACCCUGAACUCCAGAUGAGAAUGUUGCCAGCCCACCUUGAUUUCAGCCUGAAUAGAGAACUCAGCCUUGCUGUCCCGGAUUUCUGACCUACAGAACUCUCCUGAACGUGAUAGUCCUUGGAAACAGCAGAUGUCUAGUGAUGAACUUCAGCAGAAUUUGGGCCUCAGACUCUAAUUUAUUAAUAAUACUUAAGUCUCUGCAUCUCUCCAGGACGCCUGCCACAGCAUAGCUUUUGCCAAGCAGUGCCAUCU
This is a non-coding RNA of Equus caballus (horse), 777 nucleotides long. The record is from RefSeq and is a predicted model, not a curated record. Lineage: Eukaryota; Metazoa; Chordata; Mammalia; Perissodactyla; Equidae.